UUCUUGGUAGCUUAAUGGUAGAGCAAAUGGCUGUUAACCAUUUUACUACAGGUUCAAGUCCUGUCCAAGGAG
Molecule: transfer RNA, 72 nt
Filed under: Hildenbrandia rubra
Lineage: Eukaryota; Rhodophyta; Florideophyceae; Hildenbrandiales; Hildenbrandiaceae
Description: tRNA-Asn
Rfam family: tRNA
About the family: Transfer RNA (tRNA) molecules are approximately 80 nucleotides in length. Their secondary structure includes four short double-helical elements and three loops (D, anti-codon, and T loops).
Source: RNAcentral